GGCGGUUCUAGGGUGAUGCACCCGGAAUGGGGCUCCCUCCUCUCUGGUUCUGGGUGCGUGAUCCAAGAAUUGCA
Non-coding RNA from Myotis davidii, 74 nucleotides. Lineage: Eukaryota; Metazoa; Chordata; Mammalia; Chiroptera; Vespertilionidae. The record is from Rfam.